Molecule: ribosomal RNA, 189 nt
Organism: Porphyromonas sp. oral taxon 279
Lineage: Bacteria; Pseudomonadati; Bacteroidota; Bacteroidia; Bacteroidales; Porphyromonadaceae
Rfam family: Bacterial small subunit ribosomal RNA
Source: Rfam
ACAAUGAAGAGUUUGAUCCUGGCUCAGGAUGAACGCUAGCGAUAGGCUUAACACAUGCAAGUCGAGGGGCAGCAUGGUCUUAGCUUGCUAAGACUGAUGGCGACCGGCGCACGGGUGCGUAACGCGUAUGCAACUUGCCUCACAGAGGGGGAUAACCCGUCGAAAGACGGACUAAUACCGCGUACACUC